GAUGGUUAGCUCAAUUGGUAGAGCGCUCCACCUGUAAUGGAGAGGUCCCGGGUUCGAUACCCGGACCAGGCG
Molecule: transfer RNA, 72 nt
Filed under: Ixodes scapularis (black-legged tick)
Lineage: Eukaryota; Metazoa; Arthropoda; Arachnida; Ixodida; Ixodidae
Description: tRNA-Thr
Rfam family: tRNA
About the family: Transfer RNA (tRNA) molecules are approximately 80 nucleotides in length. Their secondary structure includes four short double-helical elements and three loops (D, anti-codon, and T loops).
Source: RNAcentral